AACGAACGCUGGCGGCGUGCCUAACACAUGCAAGUCGAGCGCGAAAAGGGCAACCUGAGUAGAGCGGCGCACGGGUGCGUAACACGUGGGUAAUCUGCCUUAGAGUCGAGGAUAACCUUCCGAAAGGUUGGCUAAUACUCGGUAAGCUUACGGUGUCUUCGGACGCUGUGGGAAAAGUAGGCCUCUGUUUACAAGCUUACGCUCUGAGAUGAGCCCGCGGCCCAUCAGCCAGUUGGCGGUGUAACGGACCACCAAGGCAACGACGGGUAGCUGGUCUGAGAGGACGAUCAGCCACACUGGAACUGAGACACGGUCCAGACUCCUACGGGAGGCAGCAGUGGGGAAUUUUCCACAAUGGGCGAAAGCCUGAUGGAGCAACGCCGCGUGUGUGAUGAAGGUUUUCGGAUCGUAAAGCACUUUCGACCGGGACGAAAAACCUCUGGCUAACAUCCAGGGGCCUGACGGUACCGGGAGAAGAAGCGCCGGCUAACUCUGUGCCAGCAGCCGCCGUAA
RNAcentral lists this ribosomal RNA (513 nucleotides) under uncultured bacterium. Its description in RNAcentral is "partial 16S ribosomal RNA". It matches the Rfam family "Bacterial small subunit ribosomal RNA", at positions 29 to 523 of the family's 1533-position model. The record is from RNAcentral.